RNAcentral lists this non-coding RNA (22 nucleotides) under Arabidopsis thaliana (thale cress). Lineage: Eukaryota; Viridiplantae; Streptophyta; Magnoliopsida; Brassicales; Brassicaceae. The record is from RNAcentral.
CCCUUCUCCAAUCGGGUGUGGG